GUGGGGAAUUUUGGACAAUGGGCGCAAGCCUGAUCCAGCAAUGCCGCGUGCAGGAAGAAGGCCUUCGGGUUGUAAACUGCUUUUGUACGGAACGAAACGGUUCUCUCUAAUACAGGGGGCUAAUGACGGUACCGUAAGAAUAAGCACCGGCUAACUACGUGCCAGCAGCCGCGGUAAUACGUAGGGUGCAAGCGUUAAUCGGAAUUACUGGGCGUAAAGCGUGCGCAGGCGGUUUUGUAAGACAGAGGUGAAAUCCCCGGGCUCAACCUGGGAACUGCCUUUGUGACUGCAAGGCUGGAGUGCGGCAGAGGGGGAUGGAAUUCCGCGUGUAGCAGUGAAAUGCGUAGAUAUGCGGAGGAACACCGAUGGCGAAGGCAAUCCCCUGGGCCUGCACUGACGCUCAUGCACAAAAGCGUGGGGAGCAAACAGGAUUAGAUACCCCGGUAGUCC
This 450-nucleotide ribosomal RNA is filed under the name uncultured bacterium. Its description in RNAcentral is "partial 16S ribosomal RNA". It matches the Rfam family "Bacterial small subunit ribosomal RNA", at positions 354 to 796 of the family's 1533-position model. The record is from RNAcentral.